Molecule: ribosomal RNA, 533 nt
Filed under: uncultured Enterobacter sp.
Lineage: Bacteria; Pseudomonadati; Pseudomonadota; Gammaproteobacteria; Enterobacterales; Enterobacteriaceae
Description: bacterial SSU rRNA
Rfam family: Bacterial small subunit ribosomal RNA
Source: RNAcentral
AGAGUUUGAUCAUGGCUCAGAUUGAACGCUGGCGGCAGGCCUAACACAUGCAAGUCGGACGGUAGCACAGAAGAGCUUGCUCUUCGGGUGACGAGUGGCGGACGGGUGAGUAAUGUCUGGGAAACUGCCUGAUGGAGGGGGAUAACUACUGGAAACGGUAGCUAAUACCGCAUAACCUCGCAAGAGCAAAGUGGGGGACCUUCGGGCCUCACGCCAUCGGAUGUGCCCAGAUGGGAUUAGCUAGUAGGUGGGGUAACGGCUCACCUAGGCGACGAUCCCUAGCUGGUCUGAGAGGAUGACCAGCCACACUGGAACUGAGACACGGUCCAGACUCCUACGGGAGGCAGCAGUGGGGAAUAUUGCACAAUGGGCGCAAGCCUGAUGCAGCCAUGCCGCGUGUAUGAAGAAGGCCUUCGGGUUGUAAAGCACUUUCAGCGGGGAGGAAGGCGGUGAGGUUAAUAACCUUACCUAUUGACGUUACCCGCAUAAGAAGCUCUGGCUAACUUCUUGCCACCCCUCGCGGUAAUCCGGAC